This is a long non-coding RNA of Branchiostoma floridae (Florida lancelet), 10763 nucleotides long. RefSeq lists it as uncharacterized. The transcript has 2 exons. The record is from RefSeq and is a predicted model, not a curated record. Lineage: Eukaryota; Metazoa; Chordata; Leptocardii; Amphioxiformes; Branchiostomatidae.
GGAACGCCCGUGGUGUCCGUACCUUGGGGGCCGUCGUAAGUCUUAAUCAGUUCGUCGAUCAGACGGGUGGUCUCCUCGGUUCCCCGUGUUGUACGGCAGCAAUGUAGUGCCAGCUCCUUCUUCGUGACAAAGCGAGAGGCAUGGCAAUCACCUUUCCAGUCUCAAUGUACGGCGGAAAUCCUGCAGGCAGCUGAGAAUUGCGUCGCUGCUUGUCCUACUCAUGACAAAUGACGAAACAAAUUACAUAAGCCUUGCAAGCUUGGCGUACUUACAAAAGAUCUGAACAGCAGUAAUAGUGUAUCUCUGUAACAUUUUUUUUCUUAAAAUUUCUCAUAUGAUGCAUGGCACGGAUUCAAUAUUUAAGUACAAAAUGUAUCAAUCGAUGGCAGAAAUCGAUCCGUACCUGAGGAAGCAAGGUUCCUCUCUCGUCAUGUUCGCUCCCGGGCAUUACCAUGAUGUCUUACAGUGAACCUUUCCACAGAAAUGAAUGUUCCACAAAAUUGUUCAUCCUUGGCACGGUCUAUUUACGUUAGCGCCCAAAUGAAUAUUUCCUUAUGCAGUCAUGAUGGGAUAGAUACUAACAAACUGUGGGAAACAUACCUAGACAUGUGGUCAAUCACCCCUUGUAGGAGGACAGAGUGAUAUCCCUUUCUGUUGAAGAAAUCAGUGUGAUCCUUUGAUGGUGCUUUGAUAGGGAUGUGUGAUCCGUCUAUCGCUUCUGCACACUGGGGAAACCCCCACCUCUCCUUGUAGCCCUGGAUCUCGUUUCUUUUGACUUCUGUCUAGUAGGAAAGAUAGUCUCAGAACAAUACUAGGUUUAUGGCGUUACACGCUUCGUGGACAAUGACGCAAACCGAACCUGACUCCGAAGAUGUCCGCAACACUCCUCAUCCGGUCUCCAGAGGCUAGCCAAUAUUUGCCGGUCGCCAGUCGCUUGCUUAUUGGCAUUGCCGGCUGCAUCCGAGUGUCCCUCAUUUCCAGGACCGGGUCGAGCUUGUCACAAAUAAUCUGAAAUGUGCCACUUUUUCAUUCUGAACCGUUUGUAGAACUCUGCAUUGCACAGUGUGCACCGUACACUGCCAGCAGCCACUUUCAUGGGCUGGAGGUGAGGCAAAGGUCUGACGUGCCACCAGGGGACUGAUGAACUGCUCACAGUCGGUCAGGUAGUGCAGACAAUGCUGCAGGUAUAGACCUCACUGUGCUGCUCCAGGAUCUGAUUCCUGAGUUAGCUGACCCGGCAUCGAGCUGUCGCAGAAUGUCACCAGACCAUGCCGCAACCUUCUUAGUGUAAUCUUUGCACUCAGGGUACUCUGUGGCCGUGUAGUACCACCCGUCAACGUCAAGGUCUAGCCUCACCGUCUUGUGAUGGCUUACCUGCGUGAGAAUGUGGGUAGGGAAUUAAUGGAACAUGUAACUCUGUAAAACUCCAAUUAUAUAAGAAUGUUUAAUAUUUUCUGUACACUUGUAUGUGAAAAAAAAUACACAAGAACAUUACUUAAUAGCUCUUUUUGCUGCACAAUGUCUUGACACAUCUCAGUUGAACAGCCCACAUCCUAUAUGGCAUUCACAGGAAGAAGGGCCUGUGGAAGUAGCGUAGGACUUUUGAGUUUUGAACGUCCAUACAUGAUAAUGUGCAUCAUCUUUGAUCAAGUAGAUGCAGAGUAGGACCUAUUUUGAGUACAUACAUCAUUGAUAAGCAGAUAUAAAUGUACAUAAUACAUAACAUUAUUUAUAAGAAGCAGUACAGUAGGACCUUUUCUGAACGUACAUACAUAAUCUAUAUAUAGAGAUCGUUUAUAAGUAGAUAUGGGACAGGACUUGUUUUUAACGCCCAUACAUACAUAUAUACUACUACUACUACUACCUAUUCAAUAUUUAAGCAUCAUUUAUAAUGUAGAGAAGGACUUGUUUUGCACGUCCAUAUAUAAUCAAUAUAUAAAUAUCACUUGAAAAGUUCCUGGAAGCACUCGCAGCAUUUGAUCGAGAACACUUCCGUGAGAUCUAUGUACGCACACACCAGCAGCCAUAGCAUAACAACACCCCCCACCACCUUUUAUCAGCUUCAACUUGUCUGGGAUGACCAUGUACACAGCUAGGCAGUCAGGCAGCCUCCAUGCCCUGUUUUGAACAUCCAUACAUAAUACAGUAUCAUUCAUAAGGAAACAAAGAGUAGGACCUGUUUUAAACGUCCGUACAUUAUUAUCAUAAGUCUAUGUCAUCCCAAAGCAGAAAGGUAUAAUCUUUAUCCAGAUCGAACAAAUGUGGCUCGUGGGGAGUUUGUCCUAUACACAGACUUUAAGCUCCUUUUUUCAGCCAAGCACUCCUGAACAGUUAAGGAGGAUUUUACAGCGCAAAAACUUUCCCUUCCAAACCUGCUACGGCCAUACUAUUUUGUUACAGGCUUGCUACAUUUUGAACAAAUAUUACAUCCAGACUUCCGGAAGUACUUUCUUUUGACACGGCCGUUUUGGUCCUCUAGGGUCCUUUUCUUUCUUUACCAGUUUGUGGUCGCGGGUACUCUAAAAGUAUAUGCUGGGACACAACUAGCCGCCCCUUGAGUCUGUCUAGACUAGAGAAUGAACACUGGAAUAACAUACUGAAGUGAAGUUCCAUAAGGAGCAGUACCUGUCGCUCUGCUUUCUUCUGCCGUUUGUGAUACCGGAAUAAUAUCCGAUGUGAAGGACUCAUUAAGUUAACGCGUUGCAAUGGAUACACAUUCCGGACACACACACUCAAUAAGAUAUCUAUACUAAAACGUGACUUUUGAUUUUUAAUCAGCACUGGCUCCAAACAAGUUAUUGUAUUAAAUUAUAUCCAAUAGGAUACGGCUGUAUGAAACCACUGGGUCAGCUUUUGGUGGUUGAUCUCAUACAGCUGCAGAGGUGUGUCUGUCAUCAGUCUGUGGCUGCUCACCCCCAGCAGGCGGAUUUGUCCGUUAUCUCUCAUGAUAUGAGAGCCCACCGACUCGUAUUUCCUCCACUCUUCUUUGGAUACGUAUGUAAGAUGCAGAGCUGCAGAUAGACAGACUCCACCAGACGGCUUGUGUUGGGCCAUUGCACAGGGGAAAAAAGCAGAUAAAACAACAUCAAGAAAAUGUGAUUUCGACGUAGUCUUGGCGGGCUUCGCUGCCCCGGCCGCCGCCUGCAGCUUGGUCGUGGCCAUGCAUAGCAGGGUGUACUGGCCCACGGACAGGUCCAGCGAUUUAAGCAAGUUAAAGGCUCCUCCAUUCUCAUAAACCAUGAUGACAUAUAUAACGAUAAUAUAAGGUUAUGAAAUUAGAAUAACCAGUGAUACAUUGACAACAAUUAAGGAUUUACAAGGUUCAUGUUGUAAUUAAGGCAGUAAGUCAUGUUCUUGUGGCAACACUCACCAUUGAAAGUGGUGGCUUGUGCAACAGUGCUGUCCUCUGCUGUGCCGUCAUCGGGGUCCUCCUGGUCCAAGGCGCCAUCCUGGAGUACCUUGCCUGUCUGGUCAAACAGGUACUCCGCCCCAAUCAGUUCUCCUGAUUAGAACAGUAUAAAUGAAAUUAAAAUAGUGUGAUCAACAGCUGUGUAUAGCCCUUCUAAUACCGUAGAACUGAAGUACAGUUUGUAGUCUAUUUUAUACAUACACAUACCUGUGUAUUUCCCAGUCUGUCUAACUGGCUGGACUUGUUUUCAGCCUAGGACACUUUCGCCGAGCUAGUUCAGGGCAUCGCUCAUCUUCGUGUUGUACACGUGGUGCCUCACCCCACCAGACAGCGCCAGCUGCUCGAUCUUCAUUCCUGCGGGCCAACCCAAGUAGAUAGGCCUAGAAGUUCAAGUCACUUGCGCUGGUACCUUUUCAACAAGUUUGAAAACACAAAUUCACAAUGUGAAGCUAAGGAUAUUUGCCAUUGUUACUUAUGCCACAUUCAUUUAAACAGAACAAAAUGAACUUAUCAUUCUGACUCUCAAGAAAAAUCAAAAGCAAGAAGUAUCCACUUGGAAUAAAUCUGUUCUGGUGCAGUUGGAAUGACUCCAGAGAUGUUGACCAUGAGCACAUCUGUAGGUGGGUAGCGUCACCCCCCACACACCUACACACUGUGAGAGCCUCCCCAUGAACACACCAUACAACUGGUGGGACUCGGUGUUACAUCCGAUUGCUAGCCUCCUCAUAGAAUGCCAAAUAUCUAGGCGGAUGUGUAGAUCUUUUUUGGCAGUCUUCAGUUGUUUCAAGUCCUCAUCACUCCACUCAAAUAUACACACUGUGAGAGUCUCCUCAUGAACACACUAUACGACUGGUGGGACUUUGUAUUACAUCCUAUUGCUAGCCUCCUCAAAAAAUGCCAAACAUCUAAGCGGAUGUGUAGAUUUUCCAUUCGUGAAACAACCUCUUGUACUUGCCCGUUGUCGACAGUUCACUGCAGGAAUCACCACAGUAAUCACUGCAACAUUUGCUAUCCACAUACAGAAUUACAGGAGGGAGGGACCUCAGCUUCCUUGUAUCUUCUCGUUAGUCCUUCAGCCACACUAAUGAGUCCAGCACCUUCAGCUGCUGUCAGCACACUCAUCAGCACCUCACCGCGUUCAUUCCCUACAUUAGUUACCCACGAAGCUGUGCCCGCAUCGAGACCUGCUAGCUUUCGGACCAUCUUGUUUGUAGAGUCCAGUUUCAGGAUUGUUCCAAAUGUAGAUGUAAUGGCUCAUUUUACCCCGUCCAGUCUGUCCUUGAUGUCUCGAAGGUACACGGUGAGGAGCCAGCGGAACUGCGGGAUAGACACGAAUGAUGGAGGAUCUGCAACAUCUGGGGGUGAAACUAAUCCACUUGCCGAGGUAUCCGACUUGAAUGAAAGACAGUCUGUCUUACAUAGUCUUACAAAUUCAAGCCUCUGUGCUGUUCUGCAAGCUUCUUCCGGAGUUGGGAUGCACUAUUUCCCAGCCCUCUCUGCCGGAGAAGACGAAUGACCCUGAUGUCGCAAGCCAGGCGAUAUGUCAACACAAUGGGAAACUGUUGACGGUGUCCCAUGUCACGGUGGCAUGGUAGUGAGUCAAGUCAAGGAUCAGGACAGAGGCAUGAUGUUGCGGAGAUGAUAACCUUUAUUCAGGACAAUCUGGGCACGUCCUACCCUGUCGGCGUCUCUAGCUGGAAUCCCCUACCCUGAUACGUGUCCCUUCUCAAACCCCUGUACAUCUGCUCCCAAUUACCCGGGUGACACUCCCCACACCAGGACGAUGUCACCUCGUGACACCCAUAUCAGCUGCUAAAGAAUGGGCUCGCUCCAACCAAUCACUUUCUUCUUGCAAUUCGGGCACUGCAGAAAUAACGUCAAAGCCGUUCCUACCAUUCGACAUUUUGUAUGUCCCGUGGGAUCCCGUCUGCUUCAGCGCCCCCAUGUGCAAAACCAGCAGCGCCACGGUCUUGAAAUCACGAUCACUGUCGCAGCUCGGCUCGGUUGUGUCUCAAUGCUCUCAUCGAGGUGUCCUUGUCGCCAAUAACAUCAUUCUUGAUACAGUUUUCCCGUACUGGUGUUUGAUCUCUUCUGUCAUAGAAAGUAGGGUCAUCUUUGCAAUGUCAGUUGCGGUAUCAGCAUUGUAAGCAAAAAUGGCAUCAUUUCUUACCAGUGAUUUGAGUUCUGUUUGGGCAGUGUUUUUGACUGCAUCAAUACUGGCCUUACUGUACGUCUUCAGGUGAUUUCUCAUUUUGUUGAUGCUCAACGAGUGUGUUCAUCUUUGAUAAAUGCGACUUCAGUUCUGUCAGUGGGUUACUCACACUACCAAAAAUGCCAUUCUUGUCUAUUUAUUAUACUCGGAGGAAAAGUCAUCUUCCUUGUGUACCAGCGGCCGAGAAUAUCUGGUAGAAUGCAAUCCUCCAGUAUGCUUGCAGCUUGACGAAAACCAUAUUUCAGUGCUACAGUCCUUUGCCACUUCUCUCAGUGCCGCAAUUCCGCAAUCCUCGUCCUAGUUGACUACAUUGGGCUGGCCUUUCUUAAACCAAUAUCCCGAUUGUAAUUCACAAUUCGUAAGAAGGCGCGCACUUGCUUCUUGGUCUUCGGGAUUGGGGUGGCUUGUAUGGCCGCAACCUUGCUGGCUGUAGAGACCUCUCUCUGUCCUAUCAUCUUCCUCUAGUACCACAACACUUGGUUUGACUGUGAGCCCAGCCAGUUCCAGCCUGUACAACACCUCUGUUAGGUUCUUUCCAAUUGAAUGAAGUCGAGACGAUACGGGGAGUAAAAAAGCUAUAGAAAUAUACAGGAGGCACACCUGGACUCAGAGGUGUGCAAGCUAACAACAUCCAACAGCUCCAGCACACAGGUGCCCUGGCGUUGGUGUUCUCGUGGAGGUAUGCCUCUUUCAGACGUGUCCACGGAACGUUUGUACCUUUUUUUGCUCGUUGAGGCCCUGGUUCGUCUUUAGGUCUUCUAGGCUGAUCUUCGGUAUGCUUGGUUCAUACGCACAGUUAAUGUUUACAUACAUAUGUACACAUCUUUGAACACAUUUAUACUAUCAUAGUUUUGACAGGUCACUAUUCCAGGUAUUCCUUUUGUCAUCUGGAGGCCACUUGCCCCUCUUUAAUACAGUGAUUGUUCCACUAAAGCCAUUAAUAUUGCUGUACUAGUUUUUGCGUAUUUCAUGCCGUGGGGCUGAUGUGAACUUUACAGAUACAAUCUCUGAAUUUCUGAUGGCCUUUGCAAUUGUCACCUUAGGGAUUUUUUCAACAGGAAUAUACCUUACAACCUUCCAAAUAUCAUUGAUUUUAGCAUCAGUCUUUAUUGCAUUUUUAUCUUUAAGCUGAGGCUUCCGGGUUAGGACGGGCAGGCCGCCUGCCUGGCACGGAAUCACUCAACGUUGGGAGCACUUACGAGUUUUUGUAAAUGUCUGUAUGUGCGACUGUGCGAAUAUGUUCUUCAUGUGUUUUUAUUGCAGAAACAUUUUAAAAACUACCAUCUACUCCUAUUGUGUCCGCCACCUUGCCCAUCUCCUCAAAUGUUGACAUCAGAUGCUGCACACAGUUUUUAUCGAUUAUAUCCGCUGUCUCGUUGCAGACUGGUGCCAGGGCCAACGAAAACACUGUCACUUUGGCCUCCUUCUUGUCUCAAGAUCACAUUAUGUGACUGGUCUCGUGUUGUAUGGUCUGACUGAUAUGUCACUUCGAAUUCUUUGUUUCCGCUCCUUAUUUCAUCCACUCUUUGAAGCCUUUUAUGUUGGCCAAAUGUCCAGCUUCAAUUUUGACCCAUUGCGUCGUUGUUCGCCCGGGUAAUGCAACACUGUCCAUGUUGAUUUGUGUGAGAGUAUCCAGAACAGCUUUGACAACAUCCUGAAUAAUAUUGCUGGAGACUCCUAAGGUGAGCAAGUGAUAGUAAGUUAGGCGAACCUGUGCUGUGUAUGUCUUUCCAUACCUUGUUCCUUGUGUUCAACAGUUGUAUUUACAGGGCUAUAAGAAGCACGUCUUGACGUGGUGUCUAUGCCAGAGUAACUUUUAUUCAAACCAGAUGUUAGUAUAGUGGCCGGGAUCAUACAGUACGUAUGUGGAUUGGGUAAGAUAUACUGACAACACCUUGUACCCUUUUAGUUUGUUUUUCUAACUCCUCUAGGAUGCCUUCAUAAAACACUUCUGCUGCCUCUUGUCCUUGCUCCAAGUUCUCUUCUGCUACUCUUAUUCCCUGUUAAACUUGGGUUGGGAGUUCGCCUCUGCGCGUGCCUUGCAUCGGCUACAAUGCUGAUGGCCUCCUCUGACACAUCCUGGUUCUCCUAUUUCCUACAUAUUAAAUUCUGAUAUAUGGAAAAAAAAAUCAGAAUCAGAUACAUUUGAACUCUAGUACACAUAUAAACACCAACAUCUUCACGAUCGGAAAAUUGGAAUGUAUUGUAUGCCGAAUAUUUCAUCAUCAUCAUUUUUGUAUUUAUUUUUACCGCAAUCUUUCAAUAGAGUAUACGAAAUAUAUUUCUUCUUGCCAUGGAGCAACAAAUAGAGCCACCAAGGCUAAAGGACCAAUGGCAAUUUGUCAUUCUCCGAACCCGACACACCGACAAACCCUAAGUGAGCCUCCACAGCCUUGAUACCCAACGCUACCGAAUACCCUCCCCAGACAGGAUGUACUCAAGUGCCGCCAGAAAAUAGUUCCCCGCAAGGACAAAGCAUCCAUCGAAUUAGUGUUUGUUACAUUGUAUUAGGUAGGUGGCAUUAUUUUCCGGAUUUAGGUAUAUUAAUUACUUUUUAAAGUAAACAAAUUAGUUGUUUUCGAUGUAUUAUUUGGAGCUUUACAGCUAACCAUUCUCGUGGCGGAUGGAUAUGAGCAGUACUUCCCGUCGUACUGUCAUCCAGCUUCAGUUGGAGAAGAAAGGCGGUGGCGAGAGGUGGGUGCUCGGAUGAGUCAGAAAAGAGAAGCUCUUGACAUGAGGCGAACGGCAGUCAGUUGAGCAGACCACCUGAAUGAUAUCUUAUUCCACAAAGAGCUCCAAUGUGUCAUACUUUAGGCGUCAAAGCCAAUAUCAUUGUUCAACGAAGCCAGCGUGCAGCAUCUGAUCAUAGCAGGAGCCUCCCCGAACAAUGUUUAACAACAAAGUCGUUAUCAUUGGUGGCAAAUCAAAUUGUGACACAUAACUGAUGACAUGUAUUUAAUUUCUAGGCUAGUGGCAGAACAUCCAAUUAACUCAGGGUUUGUUAGUCAGUCAGGUUUAGUCUAACAGCUGUCCAGCCUCUUGGAAACCCAGACUUCGGGGACUGUGCCUCUGGCUCAGUGGGGGCUGGUUCAGCUUAGUUAGAUGGGUUUGUUGGAUGUUGAACCCAAAAUUGAGUGAAACAGAAGAUAUUUUCGUUCCAGACAUUUUUAAAUGCUGUUUCAUUGGAAUAGUUUGCCUAAUUUGAGAAAAGGUGGUCAGAAUAGGCCAGUCACGAAGAGCUGCGGUUUGGUCUGUGUCUGUGACUACUACUAAGUUUACAAUGUGUCAUAGAUAUUUGACGGACGUGCAAAACAAAUGACAUUCAUCAGGGCGGAGCUUCAGGCCAUACUGGCCCAGGCGAGAGAAAUCACAUCUUGCAUAGCACAUACAUCAUCCUACAUUAGGUAGCUCUUCGGUUAGUGCAUCCAUUGCUCAUGCCGCCCUUCGCUCUCGGGCCCUCCGGUCACUCGAUCUUUUCUCGAGUCCUUCUCCCCAGCCGUACUACCAGAUGUGACGGUGGCCAGAUAGUCAAGUCUCAGGAGCCAGAAUUCAUAAGUGUGACCAGAAAUGGCUUUCAAAAACACUCAAUUUACUCUAUCAACAUCUAUUUUUUUCCUCAUAUUGCUUACUAGAAUAUACCGCUGGAUUUCAUGAAUUGGUGUAUUAGAGACAUUUUCUUGCUCAUUUGCUUACGAGCAACAUAUUGGCCCGCCGAGGACCAGUGUAUAAUGUCUUUAUUGCCAGGACAGUCUAUCUCCUGGACAUGACAUUCCUGAUUCUUUUUAAAUGAUUUGGUGCACCUUCAUCAACUGGGAACUCAACCCUGGACACUUUGCCAUACAAUCCAUGCCCAAUGAAAAAGCUUGAAUGUGUUGUGCGGGAAGUUUUGUACAUCAAUGGCGGCAUGAAUGUUGUUCAGCCCAUGGUCAAUGGCUCUGGUGAUGUGUGUACUCAUGGGCUCUUGACUUUCAUCCUGGCAACAUUAGAAGAAUGGACUUGUUUCAUGCUUGAUAUAAUUGAAUAGCAAAGUAUACACUGAUCAUGAUAGCAACCCUGUAAUGUUGCAUGUAUAUCCGUAUCUCGUGUCAGAAAAAUUGAUAUGCAAGAGUAUCUCAUUUCCCAAUAUACUGGAAACUAUAAAGACAAAACUAAAAUCUUAUUUCACUAAGAACUCAAUUUGAUCCAUCUCGUCAAUGAUACUUGAUAUGUACUUGUCUGGGUUGCCCCUUUUUUAAUAUGCUUGUAGUACUUUGUCCGCUCAUUUCUGAAAGCAAGAAAAAAAGUACUGUAUAUUCAGUAAUCUAUAUUCAGAUUAACAUAAAUUACACUGUUAGUAUAUCAAAAUAACAUUGUGCUAAAAGCUGCUCUAAUUUCCCUCCAGAGCUGCUACAUCGCAGUUGCUUCUAAGAAGAUACGUCUCUUGUUCCGUACAUACUUCUCCAAGAUAGUGUUUUUUUUUGGCUGUUCAGGGUAAUGUACUUUGACACACGACUUCUUAUUUCAUUAUUCUAUCUCUGGCCCUCUGCAUAGGCCAUGCAUUAGAUCCACUUUCAUUGAAUAAGUUAAAUUUUCAGAUACAUGUAUGUGGAUAUAAAUAUGUAUUUUGAGUUUUUUUUUUUAAAUAAUCUUUAUUAAUUUUUGAAAACAAGAAAGAACAUACAAAGUGGAUGUACAAAAAAGCAACCUAAACCAGGAAAGACAACUUGCAUUUCCCAACUAAAUUAAUUUAACAGUGCAUAACCAAUGGGUCCCCACUUUAACAAGUUUUAUGUAAGUUUUGAGCAAUGAUGUAUUCUACUUUGUAAUAAUAAUGUACAUAGGCUAAAAAAAAAUCUAUUGUAGAAAUUUUUAAAUGUCUACUUUUAACGAUAUACAUUUUAGCAAUUAAUUGUAUUUUGAGUCUUUUGUAUGACCCAGCCGGUAAUGGAAUUCACCAUCUACUUAAUACAAAGUGGACACUCCAAUAGACCAUCUUGGCCAUUGUUCAAUCUUACACAACUUUAAAUCAAUACAAAUACAAUCCAGCUAUAUAUCUAGACCAUCAACAGAUCUGUGAAAGAUGCAUGAGUACUUUUUGUAUAUCAUUACCAGCUUGUCAAAACUUUGUUUUUAUGUACUUUUUCAUUAAAGCUAAUACUGAUA